RNAcentral lists this ribosomal RNA (253 nucleotides) under uncultured bacterium. RNAcentral describes it as "partial 16S ribosomal RNA". It matches the Rfam family "Bacterial small subunit ribosomal RNA", at positions 524 to 776 of the family's 1533-position model. The record is from RNAcentral.
UACGUAGGAGGCGAGCGUUGUCCGGAUUUACUGGGCGUAAAGCGCGCGCAGGCGGCACACUAAGUACGAUGUGAAAUCUCCCUGCUCAACGGGGAGGGUGCAUAGUAAACUGGUGAGCUAGAGGACGGUAGAGGGGGGUGGAAUUGCUGGUGUAGCGGUGAAAUGCGUAGAGAUCAGCAGGAGCACCCGUGGCGAAGGCGGCCCCCUGGUCCGAACCUGACGCUGAGGCGCGAAGGCUAGGGGAGCGAACGGG